RNAcentral lists this ribosomal RNA (484 nucleotides) under uncultured bacterium. RNAcentral describes it as "partial 16S ribosomal RNA". It matches the Rfam family "Bacterial small subunit ribosomal RNA", at positions 899 to 1397 of the family's 1533-position model. The record is from RNAcentral.
ACUCAAAUGAAUUGACGGGGACCCGCACAAGCGGUGGAUCGUGUUCUUUAAUUCGAUGAUAAACGAAGAACCUUACCAGGGCUUGACAUCCAGGGAAGGACUGCGAAAGUAGUCUGUGCCUUUUGGAACCCUGUGACAGGUGAUGCAUGGCCGUCGUCAGCUCGUGUCGUGAGAUGUUUGGUUAAGUCCAUCAACGAGCGCAACCCUUGUACUUAGUUGUAUUUUUCUAGGUAGACUGCCCCGGUAACGGGGAGGAAGGAGGGGAUGAUGUCAGGUCAGUAUUUCCCUUACGUCCUGGGCUAGAAACACGAUACAAUGGUUAAUACAAUGCGCAGCGAAGCCGCGAGGUGGAGCAAAUCGCAUCAAAGUUAAUCUCAGUUCGGAUUGGAGGCUGAAACUCGCCUCCAUGAAGUCGGAAUCGCUAGUAAUCGCAAAUCAGCAAGUUGCGGUGAAUACGUUCCCGGGUCUUGCACACACCGCCCGU